GGCGGGAGGGGGAGCGCGGGGGUGGGUCCCCGAGCGUCCCAUUUCGCCUCCGGGCGGUUCGCUGAGCGUCCUAGCUCAGUGCGGAGGGGCAGGCGGGGCCUUCUGGACCACACGCCGCCCUCGCCGGGGUUCUGGGUUUGUUCCGAGGCAUCUCCUUCCGAACCCCUCGUCCAUCCUUCGAGAAGGGGGCUGACUCGUCUUCCUUCCGCUCAGUGCACACGUCCGCCAGCUCUUCUGACUCGGUGAGAGUGAUUUCCCAGCGAUUGCUUCGGCCGGUACAACCAGAGAACAGGAUUCUUUUCUUUUUGGCUGCUAAAUGCCUCUGUAUUCCACACUUUCCAGUGAGGGGAGAAGGCUGGAGCUUCUUGGAUGAUGAUGGAUAUUCCGCUGGGCAGGAUGAGGGCAGAGUGUGUGACAUCAACAGCACAAGGGUAAGAGCUGCCUGUCUGGUGUUUUCUCUGAUGCCAGCAUUUACCAAAGGAAGGGGAGAAAAACCUAGUGACAGAAAUGAGGGUUAAGCAUCUGGGAGACUCUUCUGUUUGUAAACAUCCAUGGGGCAGUUGGGGUAGAUGACUGAGGAAGGAAG
This 586-nucleotide long non-coding RNA is filed under the name Bos mutus (wild yak). RNAcentral describes it as "lncRNA (ENSBMUG00000014832.1)". Lineage: Eukaryota; Metazoa; Chordata; Mammalia; Artiodactyla; Bovidae. The record is from RNAcentral.